Molecule: ribosomal RNA, 656 nt
Filed under: Streptomyces olivaceus
Lineage: Bacteria; Bacillati; Actinomycetota; Actinomycetes; Kitasatosporales; Streptomycetaceae
Description: bacterial SSU rRNA
Rfam family: Bacterial small subunit ribosomal RNA
Source: RNAcentral
UAGAGUUCUGGCUCAGGACGAACGCUGGCGGCGUGCUUAACACAUCAAGUGAACGAUGACCACUUCGGUGGGAUUAGUGGCGAACGGGUGAGUAACACGUGGGCAAUCUGCCCUGCACUCUGGGACAAGCCCUGGAAACGGGGUCUAAUACCGGAUAUUGACCUUCACGGGCAUCUGUGAGGUUCGAAAGCUCCGGCGGUGCAGGAUGAGCCCGCGGCCUAUCAGCUUGUUGGUGAGGUAAUGGCUCACCAAGGCGACGACGGGUAGCCGGCCUGAGAGGGCGACCGGCCACACUGGGACUGAGACACGGCCCAGAUCCUACGGGAGGCAGCAGUGGGGAAUAUUGCACAAUGGGCGAAAGCCUGAUGCAGCGACGCCGCGUGAGGGAUGACGGCCUUCGGGUUGUAAACCUCUUUCAGCAGGGAAGAAGCGAAAGUGACGGUACCUGCAGAAGAAGCGCCGGCUAACUACGUGCCAGCAGCCGCGGUAAUACGUAGGGCGCAAGCGUUGUCCGGAAUUAUUGGGCGUAAAGAGCUCGUAGGCGGCUUGUCACGUCGGUUGUGAAAGCCCGGGGCUUAACCCCGGGCAGCGCAGGCUAGAGUUCGGUAGGGGAGAUCGGACAGAUAUCAGGAGGAACACCGGCGAAGGCGGUGACG